This 554-nucleotide ribosomal RNA is filed under the name Alternaria alternata. RNAcentral's name for it is "eukaryotic LSU rRNA". The stretch from base 200 to 353 matches the Rfam family "5.8S ribosomal RNA". The record is from RNAcentral. Lineage: Eukaryota; Fungi; Ascomycota; Dothideomycetes; Pleosporales; Pleosporaceae.
GGUCUCCGUAGGUGAACCUGCGGAGGGAUCAUUACACAAAUAUGAAGGCGGGCUGGAACCUCUCGGGGUUACAGCCUUGCUGAAUUAUUCACCCUUGUCUUUUGCGUACUUCUUGUUUCCUUGGUGGGUUCGCCCACCACUAGGACAAACAUAAACCUUUUGUAAUUGCAAUCAGCGUCAGUAACAAAUUAAUAAUUACAACUUUCAACAACGGAUCUCUUGGUUCUGGCAUCGAUGAAGAACGCAGCGAAAUGCGAUAAGUAGUGUGAAUUGCAGAAUUCAGUGAAUCAUCGAAUCUUUGAACGCACAUUGCGCCCUUUGGUAUUCCAAAGGGCAUGCCUGUUCGAGCGUCAUUUGUACCCUCAAGCUUUGCUUGGUGUUGGGCGUCUUGUCUCUAGCUUUGCUGGAGACUCGCCUUAAAGUAAUUGGCAGCCGGCCUACUGGUUUCGGAGCGCAGCACAAGUCGCACUCUCUAUCAGCAAAGGUCUAGCAUCCAUUAAGCCUUUUUUCAACUUUUGACCUCGGAUCAGGUAGGGGAUACCCGCUGAACUUAA